RNAcentral lists this non-coding RNA (114 nucleotides) under Cicer arietinum (chickpea). RNAcentral's name for it is "TPP sequence". It matches the Rfam family "TPP riboswitch aptamer (THI element)". Rfam says of the family: Vitamin B(1) in its active form thiamin pyrophosphate (TPP) is an essential coenzyme that is synthesised by coupling of pyrimidine and thiazole moieties in bacteria. The previously detected thiamin-regulatory element, thi box was extended, resulting in a new, highly conserved RNA secondary structure, the THI element, which is widely distributed in eubacteria and also occurs in some archaea. Lineage: Eukaryota; Viridiplantae; Streptophyta; Magnoliopsida; Fabales; Fabaceae. The record is from Rfam by way of RNAcentral.
GAGAUGCACCAGGGGUGCCUGUAUCUGCAUAGCAUGCUAGCAGUUCAGGCUGAGACAGUCCCUUCGAACCUGAUCAGGGUGAUGCCUGCGUAGGGAGCGUGCAUUGUUUUUCUC